This 489-nucleotide ribosomal RNA is filed under the name uncultured Eubacteriales bacterium. Its description in RNAcentral is "bacterial SSU rRNA". It matches the Rfam family "Bacterial small subunit ribosomal RNA", at positions 12 to 507 of the family's 1533-position model. The record is from RNAcentral. Lineage: Bacteria; Bacillati; Bacillota; Clostridia; Eubacteriales.
UUUGAUCCUGGCUCAGGAUAAACGCUGGCGGCGCACAUAAGACAUGCAAGUCGAACGAACUUAAUUCGAAUGUUUACAUUUGGAAGCGGUUAGUGGCGGACUGGUGAGUAACACGUAAGCAACCUGCCUAUCAGAGGGGAAUAACAGUGAGAAAUCAUUGCUAAUACCGCAUAUGCUGUGAGUAUCGCAUGAUACAAACAGGAAAGGAGUAAUCCGCUGAUAGAUGGGCUUGCGUCUGAUUAGAUAGUUGGUGGGGUAACGGCCUACCAAGUCGACGAUCAGUAGCCGGACUGAGAGGUUGAACGGCCACAUUGGGACUGAGAUACGGCCCAGACUCCUACGGGGGGCAGCAGUCGGGAAUAUUGCACAAUGGAGGAAACUCUGAUGCAGUGACGCCGCGUGCAGGAAGAAGGUUUUCGGAUUGUAAACUGCUUUAGAUGGGGAAGAAGAAAGACUGUACCCAUAGAAUAAGCUCCGGCUAACUACGUG